Molecule: ribosomal RNA, 257 nt
Filed under: uncultured bacterium
Lineage: Bacteria
Description: partial 16S ribosomal RNA
Rfam family: Bacterial small subunit ribosomal RNA
Source: RNAcentral
UACGUAGGGUGCGAGCGUUAAUCGGAAUUACUGGGCGUAAAGCGUGCGCAGGCGGUUUGCUAAGACCGAUGUGAAAUCCCCGGGCUUAACCUGGGAACUGCAUUGGUGACUGGCAGGCUAGAGUAUGGCAGAGGGGGGUAGAAUUCCACGUGUAGCAGUGAAAUGCGUAGAGAUGUGGAGGAAUACCGAUGGCGAAGGCAGCCCCCUGGGCCAAUACUGACGCUCAUGCCACGAAAGCGUGGGGAGCAAACGAGGAU